AGGUUGUGAGGUAUGGAUAAACUAAGUCAGGAAAGGAAACGAUAUAUAUAUCUGUGUAGAGUCCAAGGUGUGGCAAGAGUUCUUUGUCACUGGGAGCCAGCAUUAAUGUUUCAGUUAAUCACCCUAAUUGGCACUGGAAAUGUUUUGUCCCUUGCCUGGGGGCAUCCUUUGUUCAGUCAAGUCCUCAUUGUGUUGGUUCCCAUCUACUGUUUUGAUUUUGGAGUUUUGUAAUACUGGUAGCCAGAUUUUGUUCAUUUUCAUGGUUUCUUCCUUUCUGUUGAAGUUGUCCACAUGCUUGUGGAUUUCAAUGGCUUCUCUGUGUAGUCUGACAUGAUAGUUGUUAGAAUGGUCCAGCAUUUUUGUGUUCUCAAAUAGUAUUCUGUGUCCAGGCUGGUUCAUCAAAUGCUCUGCUAUGGCUGAUUUCUCUGGUUGAAUUAGUCUGCAGUGCCUUUCAUGUUCUUUGACUCUUGUUUGGGCGCUGCGUUUGGUGGUCCCUAUGUAGACUUGUCCACAGCUGCAUGGUAUCCGGUAGACUCCUGCAGAAGAGAGAGGAUCCCUCUUGUCCUUCGCUGACCGUAGCAUUUGUUGGAUUUUCUUCGUGGGUCUGUAGAUAGUUUGUAGGUUGUGCUUCUUCAUCAGCUUCCCUAUGCGGUCAGUAGUUCCCUUGAUGUAUGGUAAGAACACCUUUCCUCUGGGUGGAUCUUUGUCUUGACUCUCAUGGCUUGUUCUUGGCCUUGCAGCUCUUCUGAUGUCUGUGGUGGAGUAUCCAUUGGCCUGUAGAGCCCAGUUUAGGUGGUUGAGUUCACCUUGGAGGAGGUGAGGUUCGCAGAUUCUUUGUGGCUUUGAUUGUGCUCCUUUUUUGACUUGGGUGAUGGUUGGAGUUUUUAUGAAGGUAUCUAUCUGUGUGUGUAGGUUUUCUGUAAACUGUGUGGCCCAAUUGUUGAUUGGGUUUGCGGAUGACCAGAACAUCUAGAAAUGGCAGUUUUCCUUCCUUUUCUUUUUCCAUGGUGAAUUGGAUGUUUGGGUGGAUGCUGUUAAGAUGGUCCAGGAACUUGCUGAGUUCUUCCUCUCCAUGGCUCCAAAUUGUGAAGGUGUCAUCUACGUAUCUGAACCAAACAGACAAGCAUGUGGACAACUUCAACAGAAAGGAAGAAACCAUGAAAAUGAACAAAAUCUGGCUACCAGUAUUACAAAACUCCAAAAUCAAAACAGUAGAUGGGAACCAACACAAUGAGGACUUGACUGAACAAAGGAUGCCCCCAGGCAAGGGACAAAACAUUUCCAGUGCCAAUUAG
RNAcentral lists this long non-coding RNA (1295 nucleotides) under Anolis carolinensis (green anole). RNAcentral describes it as "lncRNA (ENSACAG00000036380.1)". Lineage: Eukaryota; Metazoa; Chordata; Lepidosauria; Squamata; Anolidae. The record is from RNAcentral.